UCUCAGCCCCAACAGAAGGGAAAAUCCUUUUGCUUUUUCUUUAAAAAGUAAAAGAUUAAAACAAAUAGCGGGAUUUUGC
Molecule: small RNA, 79 nt
Filed under: Flavobacterium johnsoniae
Lineage: Bacteria; Pseudomonadati; Bacteroidota; Flavobacteriia; Flavobacteriales; Flavobacteriaceae
Description: Flavo-1 RNA
Rfam family: Flavo-1 RNA
Source: RNAcentral